This 497-nucleotide ribosomal RNA is filed under the name uncultured bacterium. Its description in RNAcentral is "partial 16S ribosomal RNA". It matches the Rfam family "Bacterial small subunit ribosomal RNA", at positions 28 to 507 of the family's 1533-position model. The record is from RNAcentral.
GAUGAACGCUGGCGGCGUGCCUAAUACAUGCAAGUCGAGCGAACAGACGAGGAGCUUGCUCCUCUGACGUUAGCGGCGGACGGGUGAGUAACACGUUGAUAACCUACCUAUAAGACUGGGAGAACUUCGGGAAACCGGAGCUAAUACCGGAUAAUAUAUUGAACCGCAGGGAUCAAUAGUGAAAGACGGUUUUGCUGUCACUUAUAGAUGGAUCCGCGCUGCAUUAGCUAGUUGGUAAGGUAACGGCUUACCAAGGCAACGAUCCGUAGCCGACCUGAGAGGGUGAUCGGCCACACUGGAACUGAGACACGGUCCAGACUCCUACGGGAGGCAGCAGUAGGGAAUCUUCCGCAAUGGGCGAAAGCUUGACGGAGCCACGCCGCGUGAGUGAUGAAGGUCUUCGGAUCGUAAAACUCUGUUAUUAGGGAAGAACAAAUGUGUAAGUAACUAUGCCCGUCUUGACGGUACCUAAUCAGAAAGCCACGGCUAACUACGUG